This 1509-nucleotide ribosomal RNA is filed under the name human gut metagenome. RNAcentral describes it as "bacterial SSU rRNA". It matches the Rfam family "Bacterial small subunit ribosomal RNA". The record is from RNAcentral.
AGAGUUUGAUCCUGGCUCAGGAUGAACGCUAGCUACAGGCUUAACACAUGCAAGUCGAGGGGCAGCAUUUUAGUUUGCUUGCAAACUGAAGAUGGCGACCGGCGCACGGGUGAGUAACACGUAUCCAACCUGCCGAUAACUCCGGGAUAGCCUUUCGAAAGAAAGAUUAAUACCGGAUGGCAUACGAAUAUCGCAUGAUAUUUUUAUUAAAGAAUUUCGGUUAUCGAUGGGGAUGCGUUCCAUUAGUUUGUUGGCGGGGUAACGGCCCACCAAGACUACGAUGGAUAGGGGUUCUGAGAGGAAGGUCCCCCACAUUGGAACUGAGACACGGUCCAAACUCCUACGGGAGGCAGCAGUGAGGAAUAUUGGUCAAUGGGCGAGAGCCUGAACCAGCCAAGUAGCGUGAAGGAUGAAGGCUCUAUGGGUCGUAAACUUCUUUUAUAUGGGAAUAAAGUUUUCCACGUGUGGAAUUUUGUAUGUACCAUAUGAAUAAGGAUCGGCUAACUCCGUGCCAGCAGCCGCGGUAAUACGGAGGAUCCGAGCGUUAUCCGGAUUUAUUGGGUUUAAAGGGAGCGUAGGUGGAUUGUUAAGUCAGUUGUGAAAGUUUGCGGCUCAACCGUAAAAUUGCAGUUGAAACUGGCAGUCUUGAGUACAGUAGAGGUGGGCGGAAUUCGUGGUGUAGCGGUGAAAUGCUUAGAUAUCACGAAGAACUCCGAUUGCGAAGGCAGCUCACUAGACUGUCACUGACACUGAUGCUCGAAAGUGUGGGUAUCAAACAGGAUUAGAUACCCUGGUAGUCCACACAGUAAACGAUGAAUACUCGCUGUUUGCGAUAUACAGUAAGCGGCCAAGCGAAAGCAUUAAGUAUUCCACCUGGGGAGUACGCCGGCAACGGUGAAACUCAAAGGAAUUGACGGGGGCCCGCACAAGCGGAGGAACAUGUGGUUUAAUUCGAUGAUACGCGAGGAACCUUACCCGGGCUUAAAUUGCAACAGAAUAUAUUGGAAACAGUAUAGCCGUAAGGCUGUUGUGAAGGUGCUGCAUGGUUGUCGUCAGCUCGUGCCGUGAGGUGUCGGCUUAAGUGCCAUAACGAGCGCAACCCUUAUCUUUAGUUACUAACAGGUUAUGCUGAGGACUCUAGAGAGACUGCCGUCGUAAGAUGUGAGGAAGGUGGGGAUGACGUCAAAUCAGCACGGCCCUUACGUCCGGGGCUACACACGUGUUACAAUGGGGGGUACAGAAGGCGGCUACCUGGUGACAGGAUGCUAAUCCCAAAAACCUCUCUCAGUUCGGAUCGAAGUCUGCAACCCGACUUCGUGAAGCUGGAUUCGCUAGUAAUCGCGCAUCAGCCAUGGCGCGGUGAAUACGUUCCCGGGCCUUGUACACACCGCCCGUCAAGCCAUGAAAGCCGGGGGUACCUGAAGUACGUAACCGCAAGGAGCGUCCUAGGGUAAAACUGGUAAUUGGGGCUAAGUCGUAACAAGGUAGCCGUACCGGAAGGUGCGGCUG